GACGAACGCUGGCGGCGUGCUUAACACAUGCAAGUCGAACGGAAAGGCCCUGCUUUUGUGGGGUGCUCGAGUGGCGAACGGGUGAGUAACACGUGAGUAACCUGCCCUUGACUUUGGGAUAACUUCAGGAAACUGGGGCUAAUACCGGAUAGGAGCUCCUGCUGCAUGGUGGGGGUUGGAAAGUUUCGGCGGUUGGGGAUGGACUCGCGGCUUAUCAGCUUGUUGGUGGGGUAGUGGCUUACCAAGGCUUUGACGGGUGGCCGGCCUGAGAGGGUGACCGGCCACAUUGGGACUGAGAUACGGCCCAGACUCCUACGGGAGGCAGCAGUGGGGAAUAUUGCACAAUGGGCGGAAGCCUGAUGCAGCAACGCCGCGUGCGGGAUGACGGCCUUCGGGUUGUAAACCGCUUUCGCCUGUGACGAAGCGUGAGUGACAGUAAUGGGUAAAGAAGCACCGGCUAACUACGUG
This 468-nucleotide ribosomal RNA is filed under the name uncultured bacterium. RNAcentral describes it as "partial 16S ribosomal RNA". It matches the Rfam family "Bacterial small subunit ribosomal RNA", at positions 28 to 507 of the family's 1533-position model. The record is from RNAcentral.